Molecule: ribosomal RNA, 837 nt
Filed under: Agaricus flocculosipes
Lineage: Eukaryota; Fungi; Basidiomycota; Agaricomycetes; Agaricales; Agaricaceae
Description: partial large subunit ribosomal RNA
Rfam family: Eukaryotic large subunit ribosomal RNA
Source: RNAcentral
UAGUAACUGCGAGUGAAGCGGGAAAAGCUCAAAUUUAAAAUCUGGCGGUCUCUGGCCGUCCGAGUUGUAAUCUAGAGAAGUAAUGCCCGUGCUGGACCGUGUAUAAGUCUCCUGGGAUGGGGCGUCAUAGAGGGUGAGAAUCCCGUCUUUGACACGGACUACCAGUGCAUUGUGGUAUGCUCUCAAAGAGUCGAGUUGUUUGGGAAUGCAGCUCAAAAUGGGUGGUAAAUUCCAUCUAAAGCUAAAUAUUGGCGAGAGACCGAUAGCGAACAAGUACCGUGAGGGAAAGAUGAAAAGAACUUUGGAAAGAGAGUUAAACAGUACGUGAAAUUGCUGAAAGGGAAACGCUUGAAGUCAGUCGCGUUGGCCGGGGAUCAGCCUUGCUUUUGCAUGGUGUACUUUCUGGUUGACGGGUCAGCAUCAAUUUUGACCGCUGGAAAAAGACCUGGGGAAUGUGGCAGCUUCGGCUGUGUUAUAGCCCCUAGUCGCAUACAGUGGUUGGGAUUGAGGAACUCAGCACGCCGCAAGGCCGGGUUUCGACCACGUUCGUGCUUAGGAUGCUGGCAUAAUGGCUUUAAGCGACCCGUCUUGAAACACGGACCAAGGAGUCUAACAUGCCUGCGAGUAUUUGGGUGGAAAACCCAAGUGCGCAAUGAAAGUGAAAGUUGAGAUCCCUGUCGUGGGGAGCAUCGACGCCCGGACCAGAACUUUUGGGACGGAUCCGCGGUGGAGCAUGUAUGUUGGGACCCGAAAGAUGGUGAACUAUGCCUGAAUAGGGUGAAGCCAGAGGAAACUCUGGUGGAGGCUCGUAGCGAUUCUGACGUGCAAAUCGAUCGU